AGAGUUUGAUCCUGGCUCAGGAUGAACGCUGGCGGCGUGCCUAACACAUGCAAGUCGAACGAAGACUGUGCGGCGGAACUCUCCGGAGGGAAGACGCGCAGGACUGAGUGGCGGACGGGUGAGUAACGCGUGGGUAACCUGCCCUGUACAGGGGGACAACAGCUGGAAACGGCUGCUAAUACCGCAUAAGCCUACAGUACCGCAUGGUACAGCAGGAAAAACUCCGGUGGUACAGGAUGGGCCCGCGUCUGAUUAGUUAGUUGGCAGGGUAACGGCCUACCAAGACAACGAUCAGUAGCCGGCUUGAGAGAGUGGACGGCCACAUUGGGACUGAGACACGGCCCAAACUCCUACGGGAGGCAGCAGUGGGGAAUAUUGCACAAUGGGGGGAACCCUGAUGCAGCAACGCCGCGUGAGUGAAGAAGUAUUUCGGUAUGUAAAGCUCUAUCAGCAGGGAAGAAAAUGACGGUACCUGACUAAGAAGCUCCGGCUAAAUACGUGCCAGCAGCCGCGGUAAUACGUAUGGAGCAAGCGUUAUCCGGAUUUACUGGGUGUAAAGGGAGCGCAGGCGGUACGGCAAGUCCGAUGUGAAAGCCCGGGGCUCAACCCCGGGACUGCAUUGGAAACUGCCGCACUAGAGUGCCGGAGAGGUAAGUGGAAUUCCUAGUGUAGCGGUGAAAUGCGUAGAUAUUAGGAGGAACACCAGUGGCGAAGGCGGCCUACUGGACGGUGACUGACGCUGAGGCUCGAAAGCGUGGGGAGCAAACAGGAUUAGAUACCCUGGUAGUCCACGCCGUAAACGGUGAAUCUAAGUGUCCGGCCCCAUUGGGGGGCCGGUGCCCGCAGCAAACGCAGUAAGUAUUCCACCUGGGGAGUACGUUCGCAAGAAUGAAACUCAAAGGAAUUGACGGGGACCCGCACAAGCGGUGGAGCAUGUGGUUUAAUUCGAGGCAACGCGAAGAACCUUACCCAGCCUUGACAUCCCGGCGAGAACGGGGCAAUGCCCGUUGCCCUUCGGGGCGCCGGAGACAGGUGGUGCAUGGUUGUCGUCAGCUCGUGUCGUGAGAUGUUGGGUUAAGUCCCGCAACGAGCGCAACCCUUAUCUUCAGUAGCCAGCAGGUAAAGCCGGGCACUCUGGAGAGACUGCCGGGGAUAACCCGGAGGAAGGUGGGGAUGACGUCAAAUCAUCAUGCCCCUUAUGAUUUGGGCUACACACGUGCUACAAUGGCGUAAACAGAGGGAAGCGAGCCCGCGAGGGGGAGCAAAUCCCAAAAAUAACGUCCCAGUUCGGAUUGUAGUCUGCAACCCGACUACAUGAAGCUGGAAUCGCUAGUAAUCGCGGAUCAGAAUGCCGCGGUGAAUACGUUCCCGGGUCUUGCACACACCGCC
Molecule: ribosomal RNA, 1389 nt
Filed under: uncultured bacterium
Lineage: Bacteria
Description: bacterial SSU rRNA
Rfam family: Bacterial small subunit ribosomal RNA
Source: RNAcentral